GACGAACGCUGGUGGCGUGCCUAAUACAUGCAAGUCGAGCGGACCAAUAGAAGCUUGCUUCUGUUGGUUAGCGGCGGACGGGUGAGUAACACGUGGGCAACCUGCCUGUAAGGCUGGGAUAACUUCGGGAAACCGGAGCUAAUACCGGAUAAUUCAUCCCCUCGCAUGAGGGGAUGCUGAAAGUCGGUUCACGCUGACACUUACAGAUGGGCCCGCGGCGCAUUAGCUAGUUGGUGAGGUAAUGGCUCACCAAGGCGACGAUGCGUAGCCGACCUGAGAGGGUGAUCGGCCACACUGGGACUGAGACACGGCCCAGACUCCUACGGGAGGCAGCAGUAGGGAAUCUUCCACAAUGGACGAAAGUCUGAUGGAGCAACGCCGCGUGAGCGAUGAAGGCCUUCGGGUCGUAAAGCUCUGUUGUUAGGGAAGAACAAGUAUCGGAGUAACUGCCGGUACCUUGACGGUACCUAACCAGAAAGCCACGGCUAACUACGUGCCAGCCGCCGCAGUAA
This 512-nucleotide ribosomal RNA is filed under the name uncultured bacterium. RNAcentral describes it as "partial 16S ribosomal RNA". It matches the Rfam family "Bacterial small subunit ribosomal RNA", at positions 28 to 523 of the family's 1533-position model. The record is from RNAcentral.